CGGCGAGUGAAGCGGGAAGAGCUCAAAUUUGAAAUCUUCAAGGUUCUACCUUGACGAAUUGUAGUUUAAAGAAGUGUUUUCUGUUAGAUGAGUAGCAAAAGUUCCUUGGAAUGGGACAUCAUAGAGGGUGAGAAUCCCGUAUUUGGUUAUUCAUUCUAGCUUUGUGAUACACUUUCAAAGAGUCGGAUUGUUUGGGAAUGCAGUCCAAAAUGGGUGGUAAAUUUCAUCUAAAGCUAAAUAUUGGCGAGAGACCGAUAGCGAACAAGUACCGUGAGGGAAAGAUGAAAAGAACUUUGAAAAGAGAGUUAAACAGUACGUGAAAUUGUCAAAAGGGAAGCGUUUGACACCAGUGUUGUUUUUCCGAAAAUCAAUUACGAAUGGCUUGAUUUUGUGUUGUAUUGACCUUAUCAGCUUUCUGCACUUUUUUCGAGUCUUUCUUAAUGCACUUUUCGGUUAACAAGUCAACAUCAAUUUCUUUUGUUGUAAAAGAGUAUUCGGAAGGUGGCUUUCUUUUCGGAGAAAGUGUUUAUAGCCCUAUACUUCUACAAUCGGAGAGAUUGAGGUCUGCAGCGUAGAUCCUUUGGGGUUAGAUACACUUGUGCUAAGUUGUAGCUUUUCAUAGACAACUUGUUGACUAUGUUUAGUCAUGCGGCUUACUCGCUUGUGCUAUUUUACCUACGCUUAGGAUGUUGACAAAAUGGUUUUAAACGACCCGUCU
This 718-nucleotide ribosomal RNA is filed under the name Neocallimastix frontalis. RNAcentral's name for it is "partial large subunit ribosomal RNA". It matches the Rfam family "Eukaryotic large subunit ribosomal RNA", at positions 87 to 654 of the family's 3401-position model. The record is from RNAcentral. Lineage: Eukaryota; Fungi; Neocallimastigomycota; Neocallimastigomycetes; Neocallimastigales; Neocallimastigaceae.